This 253-nucleotide ribosomal RNA is filed under the name uncultured bacterium. Its description in RNAcentral is "partial 16S ribosomal RNA". It matches the Rfam family "Bacterial small subunit ribosomal RNA", at positions 524 to 776 of the family's 1533-position model. The record is from RNAcentral.
UACGUAGGGUGCAAGCGUUAAUCGGAAUUACUGGGCGUAAAGCGUGCGCAGGCGGUGAUGUAAGACAGAUGUGAAAUCCCCGGGCUCAACCUGGGAACUGCAUUUGUGACUGCAUCGCUGGAGUGCGGCAGAGGGGGAUGGAAUUCCGCGUGUAGCAGUGAAAUGCGUAGAUAUGCGGAGGAACACCGAUGGCGAAGGCAAUCCCCCGGGCCUGCACUGACGCUCAUGCACGAAAGCGUGGGGAGCAAACAGG